This 45-nucleotide non-coding RNA is filed under the name Schistosoma margrebowiei. The record is from RNAcentral. Lineage: Eukaryota; Metazoa; Platyhelminthes; Trematoda; Strigeidida; Schistosomatidae.
AUCCAGCUGACGAGUCUCAAACAGGACGAAACCCGCGUCCUGGAU